Molecule: ribosomal RNA, 478 nt
Filed under: uncultured bacterium
Lineage: Bacteria
Description: bacterial SSU rRNA
Rfam family: Bacterial small subunit ribosomal RNA
Source: RNAcentral
UGACAGUACUCCUACGGGAGGCAGCAGUGGGGAAUAUUGGACAAUGGGGGGAAACCCUGAUCCAGCAAUGCCGCGUGUGUGAAGAAGGCCUGCGGGUUGUAAAGCACUUUCAGUGGGGAGGAGGAUUGAUUGGUUAAGAGCUGAUUAAUUGGACGUUACCCAGAGAAGAAGCACCGGCUAACUCCGUGCCAGCAGCCGCGGUAAUACGGAGGGUGCAAGCGUUAAUCGGAAUUAUUGGGCGUAAAGGGUGCGUAGGUUGUCUUUUAAGUUAUCUGUGAAAUAACCUGGGCUUAACCCCGGGGGUGGUCAGGUAAUACUGGGGGACGUUGAGUAUAGGAGAGGGCAGUGGAAUUUCCGGUGUAGCGGUGAAAUGCGUAGAUAUCGGAAGGAACACCGGUGGCGAAGGCGACUGCCUGGCCUAAUACUGACACUGAGGCACGAAAGCGUGGGUAGCAAACAGGAUUAGAUACCCUGGUAG